Non-coding RNA from Mycobacterium kansasii 824, 118 nucleotides. The record is from Rfam. NCBI's taxonomy places the organism in Bacteria, Bacillati, Actinomycetota, Actinomycetes, Mycobacteriales, Mycobacteriaceae.
GGUCAUGAGCGCCAGCGUCAAGCCCGGCUUGCUGGCCGGCAACCCUCCAACCGCGGUGGGGUGCCCGGGUGAUGACCCGGUUGAGUAGCCACAAUCGGCUACACGGCAAGCGCGGGUC